GCGCCCGUAGCUCAGUGGAUAGAGCACUGGCCUCCGGAGCCAGGAGCGUAGGUUCGAUUCCUAUCGGGCGUACCA
RNAcentral lists this transfer RNA (75 nucleotides) under Clostridia bacterium. Its description in RNAcentral is "tRNA-Arg". It matches the Rfam family "tRNA". Rfam says of the family: Transfer RNA (tRNA) molecules are approximately 80 nucleotides in length. Their secondary structure includes four short double-helical elements and three loops (D, anti-codon, and T loops). The record is from RNAcentral. Lineage: Bacteria; Bacillati; Bacillota; Clostridia.